RNAcentral lists this unclassified non-coding RNA (671 nucleotides) under Athalia rosae (coleseed sawfly). Its description in RNAcentral is "misc RNA ENSAEAG00005003784.1". The record is from RNAcentral. Lineage: Eukaryota; Metazoa; Arthropoda; Insecta; Hymenoptera; Athaliidae.
UAAUUGGUCAAGAAUCCAACUCGUCAAGUCCUCGAUCGAAACCAAUUUCUUCAUUCGAUCGGAGUCUCAUCGAAGAGUGUAAAUUCAACAAUUGAUACCUCCCUUGGAAAUCGUAUGGAUUUGCGUGAUCGGAACUUAAGUCUUUGGAAACGUCUUCUCUGGAUCCUAAUGACACGGCUUCUUGGGUCCAUAUGCUAAUCUUCUGUUACACUCUCUUUGAGAAAUACAUCCGGGUGAAGAGGUAUCCCUGGUUCUCACGUAACCAUCUAUACAGGAACAUCCUGGUACGCAUUGCUUGAGACAAAAUCUUAGGGGAUUUUGGCAAUCCGCUGGACAAGCCGAUCCGCAAGGUAGCCAUACCUUUCCGGGUUCGCAAUCGGUUUCAUUUGAACCUGCGGGAGGCGAAUAUAUCGAUAAACUUUCCAGCCAGACGACGAGUGAGAAAUUCGGAAAACUCUUUCACUUACCGGCAGCUCGAGCAACUGUGCAAAAGAUUAAGAUUAUCGUUAUUACUUUCCAAGACAUUCUGAUUACGUCUGUUGAAUGCACUUCUUCGACUCAGCCUUUUAUACAUCGUCUCGUGCAAUUAUGACCCGGGCGAAAGGUUUCCUGGAACUUUUGACGAUAAAAAAUAUGAUAAGCUUUGGCUAUAACGCGUCAUCGAAUUUACG